Molecule: long non-coding RNA, 922 nt
Organism: Octodon degus (degu)
Lineage: Eukaryota; Metazoa; Chordata; Mammalia; Rodentia; Octodontidae
Exons: 2
Source: RefSeq, a predicted model, not a curated record
UCAGAGAACAUUCUAAACUUAGAAAAAUAUGCAAAGAGAAAACAACAAAUUUAUCAGACCCUAUGAUAGUGUCACAGAGAAGUGACUUAUAAGCUGCUAGGUGUCAGAUGAGCUGAGUGUCUCUGGAUAACUGAGGAAUGAAUACGGGAGAAAGAAGGUUAAGAGUAGGAAAAGGUUUUUGAGAGAAAGCUCCAGAAAACAAGAGGAGCCUCAAAAGUGAGUAGCUGUUUGAGGCUCUUUUUCUAGGUGCUUUUUUAUACACAGAAAUGACCAUCCUUCAAGACACUCAGCCAAGCUAAGGCCAACCUAAGCGGUUGCAGUUCCAGGAAAAGUUUUCAAGCUUUAGUCCAAUGAUCCCAUGUGCAGUGUGGGUGUUCAGCCUAACUAAAGCCAAACUACAAAACACAGCAAAAAGCUCAUGCACCACAAUAUUGAUUACAUUAUUUGUGGUACUGGAAACCUGUGAGACGUUUACCACAACAUGAAGGGAGAAGUUAAGUCAACCUUACUCCAACAGCUGCCUGGAGUUGCCAUGCGUAGAGCCUGUGUGUGCCGUGGAGGGGUGACAUGGACUCGGCAGGCAGACGUGCGCAUGUACUGGGAGACACUACGUGCAUGAAGGAUUCCCAGGUACAGUGUCCAGCAGUGGCUAGCGAUGGAAGACACUCUGGGAUGGAUAUCACACACUCAGUGCCAACAGCCGUUUUCAUCCACGACAACUGAGAUCUCCUGGAUUCCAACAUGAAAUUCGCUUUCAAUAAUUUGAGCAGAGGUCAGCCAGAGAGGCAGUUGUCUUGCCACCAUUCAGCAUAGAAUUGACAUUUUCUUCAUGGAAGAAAUACCCCUGGCCCAAGCUGUAUGACUUUCAGAAAUGGAGGAAUUAUAUAUUCAAUGCAAUAAAAAUAGGAGAAUUAUGAUGAAA